Molecule: ribosomal RNA, 253 nt
Filed under: uncultured bacterium
Lineage: Bacteria
Description: partial 16S ribosomal RNA
Rfam family: Bacterial small subunit ribosomal RNA
Source: RNAcentral
UACGGAGGGGGCUAGCGUUGUUCGGAAUUACUGGGCGUAAAGCGCACGUAGGCGGCUUUGUAAGUUAGAGGUGAAAGCCCGGAGCUCAACUCCGGAAUUGCCUUUAAGACUGCAUCGCUAGAAUUGUGGAGAGGUAAGUGGAAUUCCGAGUGUAGAGGUGAAAUUCGUAGAUAUUCGGAAGAACACCAGUGGCGAAGGCGACUUACUGGACGCAUAUUGACGCUGAGGUGCGAAAGCGUGGGGAGCAAACAGG